Long non-coding RNA from Pogona vitticeps (central bearded dragon), 2075 nucleotides. Lineage: Eukaryota; Metazoa; Chordata; Lepidosauria; Squamata; Agamidae. The record is from Ensembl.
UUUUGUGUGCAAGUCAACCGCUCUGGCACGAAUCUUUGCAACAGAGGGAAAAACAUAAAUAGCAAGACUUUUAAUAUGUAAUAUGCUCCUCGCACACAAGAUUCCAAAAGUCAAGAGCUUAAUCUUUCCACAGACAAACUCAUGAUUUGAACGCAGAACGCGACAGAGGGAAGCAGGGCCUUUGAGGGGUUCGGGACAGUCCAUGUGGCGCAUGCAGCUCUACGCUUUGAGAGCCGCCUGCCGCCUGAAACAGUUGCCCCGUUUUGCCCAACGGUAGGGCCGGCCCUCUGCGACGUCCUUCAGCUCCAGCUGCUCUUUGACACCAACCAAGCGUUGUUUGGGCGAAAGGACCCGCUUUUCGAAGGUCUCGGGGACUUUUUGCUCCCUCUCACCCUUUUUUGGGAAACUCAAGCAGUAGAGGCUAGCCCUCAAAUGUGAAGAAACCGGGAAAAGAUCAUGCUUUAAAGAAUAAUAAUGGAAAAAAAAAAUCCUACAGUGGCCUGUCUUAAAGCUGUGAAGAAAUGGGAUUGCAUAAAAACAAAAACCUAGGAGGGGAAGAAGAAAAGGAAAAAAAAAACACCACUCUCUGGCUGGUAAUAAUGGGAAAAAAAAAACAUCCUGCAGUGGCCUGUCUUAAAGUUGUGAAGAAAUGGGAUUGCAUAAAAACAAAAACCUAGGAGGGGAAGAAGAAAAGGAAAAAAAAAACACCACUCUCUGGCUGGCGGCUGCUGGAGAGGGGAUGGUGCAACCUAAUUAUGGGGGGGGGGAGGAGAGUAGCCAGGUUGGAUUGCACCCCUUGGGGGGGUGAAGGGGGCGGAGGAUGGAGGGAGGGUGGCAGGUUUAUAGCAAGCAGCACCAGGGUAAGAAUGCUGAUUGCUUUCUGCAUGCUUAUUUCUACUCCCAGCUACAAAAACUCUGCGAAGCCCCCAAACCAUGCAGCUUGCUUUCUCCGUGGCUGUGGUCCUCGUGGCAUUGUCUGUUGUGGCAGGUAGGAACAAAGAAACACAGUGACUCUCCUUUCACUUCUGAGUAUAACCAAGCUGGUUGGGAGAUGCUAGAAGCUGUGAUAGAGUAAUACAAAGAUAGACAGACACAUACACUCACAUACACAUAGGCACAUUGCAGAUGUGUUGGACCACAGCUUCCAGAAUCUCACAGCCAGUGGUGCAGACUAUGGUAUUCUGGGAGUUGUAGUCAUAUCUGCAGGAUGCCAGGAGGGAAAGAUUGUUUGCCAUAUGGAAACUGUUGCAGAAUUUUGAAUUUUUGGUUAAAUUCCUCUAGCUGUGCAGGAGAAGUGCAUGGAUUCACAGAGCAGAAUACAGUGGUGCCUUGCUAAACGGGUGCCCGUUUAACGAUGAGAUCGCAUAGCAACGAAGAUUUUACAAUCACCUUUGUGAUCACAUUGCAAUGUUUUAAAUAGGGAAAAAUCGCUUUGCGAUGAUUGGUACCCUGUUUCGCUUACCGAUCAUCGCAAAGCAAUGAUUUUUAACAGCUGAUCAGCGGUUCCAAAAUGGGCGCCGGGUAAAAAAAAAAAAUAGCCGCCUGCUGUUUUCUGGGAUGGAUUCCUCGUUUACCGGGCAGCGAAAACGGCCGCCGUAUGGAGGAUUUUCGUUUAAAGGUGAGUCUGAAGCCCAUAGGAACGCAUUGAAGGGGUUUCAAUACAUUCCUAUGGGCUUUUUAAAAUCGCAUAGCGACGAAAUCGCUUUGCAGCGAUUUUUGCUGCACCAAUUAUCGUCGCUAUGCGAGGUACCACUAUAGCGUCACAUUUCCACAGAUUAAUCCACCCCUUUUUCUCAUUAACUGGCACUUACAGUCUCAAUAACCCGUGGUGAGGUAUUAGUAGGAGAAAGAAUAGAAGGUUUAAUGACUUACAGUUGAACAGAUCAAACAGCAAAUGGACAAGCACGCCUACUUUCAACAACAGACUUCAGCAGACUAUAAGAGAGGGGGAAAGCACCAAGCAGAGAUCUGGGACUCUCUUUGAAUUCAGAGGCAGGGAAAGAACAAUUAGUUAGAGCUGGAUAGAUUGACAGUCCCUGCAGCCCAGAAAGGAGCCUCCCAGCCAAACCUACUAA